UACGUAGGGUGCGAGCGUUGUCCGGAAUUACUGGGCGUAAAGAGCUCGUAGGCGGUUUGUCGCGUCUGCUGUGAAAACGUGAGGCUCAACCUCGCGCCUGCAGUGGGUACGGGCAGACUAGAGUGCGGUAGGGGAGAUUGGAAUUCCUGGUGUAGCGGUGGAAUGCGCAGAUAUCAGGAGGAACACCGAUGGCGAAGGCAGAUCUCUGGGCCGUAACUGACGCUGAGGAGCGAAAGCGUGGGGAGCGAACAGG
This 253-nucleotide ribosomal RNA is filed under the name uncultured bacterium. Its description in RNAcentral is "partial 16S ribosomal RNA". It matches the Rfam family "Bacterial small subunit ribosomal RNA", at positions 524 to 776 of the family's 1533-position model. The record is from RNAcentral.